CACAGUAUGGAGGUCUAACUGUUGACCUGGGUAGUACAGCACCAGAAUGGAUACCUGAUGCAGCUGUUACUUUGUGUCAGUUGUGUACAAAUGAGUUCACCGUCACCUUCCGCCGUCAUCACUGUCAAGCUUGUGGAAAGGUUGUGUGUUCUGUUUGUUCAGCUGGUCAAGCCCCACUUCGUUAUUUAGGGUUUAAAACAGCAAGAGUUUGUGAUGAAUGUUUUCCAAAACUUCCAAAAGAAGGAAACCAAACUGAGUGCAGGUAUUCCUCUAAGGAUGAUGACUCAGGACCGAGAGAUAUAGAAAGUGACCCCUCACUGAAAGCCGAGUUUAAUAAAGAACUUCAACAGUCGGGAAGUAAAACAAAACAAAAUGUACCUAGCCUCUUACAGGAGAUUUGUGACAAUAACCAAGUCUCCUCCAUUAGUGGCCACUUACAGAAAAGAGGUCGUAGAGGCUGGAAACAGUACUGGUUUGUCAUUAAUGACAAAGUUUUGUAUAUGUACAAAACAAAUGAGG
Molecule: long non-coding RNA, 519 nt
Organism: Limulus polyphemus (Atlantic horseshoe crab)
Lineage: Eukaryota; Metazoa; Arthropoda; Merostomata; Xiphosura; Limulidae
Exons: 4
Source: RefSeq, a predicted model, not a curated record